RNAcentral lists this ribosomal RNA (489 nucleotides) under uncultured bacterium. RNAcentral's name for it is "partial 16S ribosomal RNA". It matches the Rfam family "Bacterial small subunit ribosomal RNA", at positions 28 to 506 of the family's 1533-position model. The record is from RNAcentral.
GAUGAACGCUAGCUACAGGCUUAACACAUGCAAGUCGCAGGGUAACAUGAGGAAAGCUUGCUUUCCUUGAUGACGACUGGCGCACGGGUGAGUAACGCGUAUCCAACCUUCCCAUAACUACGGGAUAACCCGUUGAAAGACGGCCUAAUACCGUAUGAUAUCGUUUGCUGACAUCAAAUAACGAUUAAAGGUUUAGCGGUUAUGGAUGGGGAUGCGUCUGAUUAGCUUGUUGGCGGGGUAACGGCCCACCAAGGCGACGAUCAGUAGGGGUUCUGAGAGGAAGGUCCCCCACAUUGGAACUGAGACACGGUCCAAACGCGUACGGGAGGCAGCAGUGAGGAAUAUUGGUCAAUGGGCGAGAGCCUGAACCAGCCAAGUAGCGUGGAGGACGACGGCACUAUGGAUUGUAAGAUGCUUUUAUGUGGGGAUAAAGUGCGUGACGUGUCAUGCAUUGCAGGUACAACAUGAAUAAGGACCGGCUAAUUCCGU